AAGACCUUGCACUUUUGGAGCGGCCGAUGUCUGAUUAGCUAGUUGGUGGGGUAAUGGCCUACCAAAGCUUCGAUCAGUAGCUGGUCUGAGAGGACGGCCAGCCACACUGGGACUGAGACACGGCCCAGACUCCUACGGGAGGCAGCAGUGGGGAAUUUUGGACAAUGGGCGCAAGCCUGAUCCAGCCAUGCCGCGUGAGUGAAGAAGGCCUUCGGGUUGUAAAGCCCUUUCAGUCGGGAAGAAAAGGUUGCGACUAAUAAUCGCAAUUCAUGACGGUACCGGAAGAAGAAGCACCGGCUAACUACGUGCCAGCAGCCGCGGUAAUACGUAGGGUGCGAGCGUUAAUCGGAAUUACUGGGUGUAAAGGGUGCGCAGGCGGUUUUGUAAGUCAGAUGUGAAAUCCCCGGGCUUAACCUGGGAACU
RNAcentral lists this ribosomal RNA (423 nucleotides) under uncultured bacterium. RNAcentral's name for it is "bacterial SSU rRNA". It matches the Rfam family "Bacterial small subunit ribosomal RNA", at positions 207 to 622 of the family's 1533-position model. The record is from RNAcentral.